ACAUUAACCUAGCAGGGAGGACACCACGAUCAGGAAGGUGGCUUUCCCAGGGCCAGGCUCACUUACACGCACUCCAGGUGUGCUGACCCCUGCGACUUCCCCAGAUGCAGGAAACUCAACUGCAUAACUAGUGGGCGGGCGAGGGGGGCAUUUUUUU
Molecule: small nuclear RNA, 157 nt
Filed under: Pavo cristatus (Indian peafowl)
Lineage: Eukaryota; Metazoa; Chordata; Aves; Galliformes; Phasianidae
Description: U1 spliceosomal RNA (ENSPSTG00000002893.1)
Rfam family: U1 spliceosomal RNA
About the family: U1 is a small nuclear RNA (snRNA) component of the spliceosome (involved in pre-mRNA splicing).
Source: RNAcentral